CUGGGGAAUUUUGGACAAUGGGCGCAAGCCUGAUCCAGCCAUGCCGCGUGCAGGAUGAAGGCCUUCGGGUUGUAAACUGCUUUUGUACGGAACGAAACGGCCUUUUCUAAUAAAGAGGGCUAAUGACGGUACCGUAAGAAUAAGCACCGGCUAACUACGUGCCAG
RNAcentral lists this ribosomal RNA (165 nucleotides) under uncultured bacterium. Its description in RNAcentral is "partial 16S ribosomal RNA". It matches the Rfam family "Bacterial small subunit ribosomal RNA", at positions 354 to 511 of the family's 1533-position model. The record is from RNAcentral.